Molecule: ribosomal RNA, 451 nt
Filed under: uncultured bacterium
Lineage: Bacteria
Description: partial 16S ribosomal RNA
Rfam family: Bacterial small subunit ribosomal RNA
Source: RNAcentral
GUGGGGAAUAUUGGACAAUGGGGGGAACCCUGAUCCAGCCAUGCCGCGUGUGUGAAGAAGGCCUUUUGGUUGUAAAGCACUUUAAGUGGGGAGGAGGCUUACCUGGUUAAUACCUGGGCUAAGUGGACGUUACCCACAGAAUAAGCACCGGCUAACUCUGUGCCAGCAGCCGCGGUAAUACAGAGGGUGCGAGCGUUAAUCGGAUUUACUGGGCGUAAAGCGCGCGUAGGUGGUUAAUUAAGUCAAAUGUGAAAUCCCCGAGCUUAACUUGGGAAUUGCAUUCGAUACUGGUUGGCUAGAGUAUGGGAGAGGAUGGUAGAAUUCCAGGUGUAGCGGUGAAAUGCGUAGAGAUCUGGAGGAAUACCGAUGGCGAAGGCAGCCAUCUGGCCUAAUACUGACACUGAGGUGCGAAAGCAUGGGGAGCAAAAGGGAUUAGAUACCCUUGUAGUCC